Molecule: non-coding RNA, 47 nt
Organism: Planktomarina temperata RCA23
Lineage: Bacteria; Pseudomonadati; Pseudomonadota; Alphaproteobacteria; Rhodobacterales; Paracoccaceae
Source: Rfam
UCCUAGCUGCAACGGCUUCCUGGCGCAGCUUACAUUUUAUUGGAGCA